GUAGGUGGCAAGCGUUGUUCGGAAUUAUUGGGCGUAAAGCGCGCGCAGGCGGUUCUUUAAGUCUGAUGUGAAAGCCCACGGCUCAACCGUGGAGGGUCAUUGGAAACUGGAGAACUUGAGUACAGAAGAGGAAAGCGGAAUUCCACGUGUAGCGGUGAAAUGCGUAGAGAUGUGGAGGAACACCAGUGGCGAAGGCGGCUUUCUGGUCUGUAACUGACGCUGAGGCGCGAAAGCGUGGGGAGCAAACAGGAUUAGAUACCCUGGUAGUCCACGCGUAAACGAUGAGUGCUAAGUGUUAGGGGGUUUCGCCCCCCUUAGUGCUGCAGCUAACGCAUUAAGCACUCCGGCCUGGGAGUACGGCCGCAAGGCUG
RNAcentral lists this ribosomal RNA (371 nucleotides) under uncultured organism. RNAcentral's name for it is "partial 16S ribosomal RNA". It matches the Rfam family "Bacterial small subunit ribosomal RNA", at positions 527 to 896 of the family's 1533-position model. The record is from RNAcentral.